GGUGCUAUGGCGCAAUGGUAGCGUGUGGUCCUCCUAAAGGGAGCUCCCAGACUGAGGUUGUGGGUUCGAGUCCCACUAGCAUCG
RNAcentral lists this transfer RNA (84 nucleotides) under Thermothielavioides terrestris NRRL 8126. Its description in RNAcentral is "Thielavia terrestris NRRL 8126 tRNA". It matches the Rfam family "tRNA". From Rfam's summary of the family: Transfer RNA (tRNA) molecules are approximately 80 nucleotides in length. Their secondary structure includes four short double-helical elements and three loops (D, anti-codon, and T loops). Lineage: Eukaryota; Fungi; Ascomycota; Sordariomycetes; Sordariales; Chaetomiaceae. The record is from Rfam by way of RNAcentral.